UGGUAGUCCUUGGCUCCGGAGCUCCAGGAUACCUUUCCACCUGAGCUGUAUAACACUCAGUGCUCUGUGACUCCUGAGUGUCAGAAUACCUGACCCAUCCGGAUCCGCCAGAAAUGCCUAGGAGGCCGAGUAGCUCCCUCUCUCUUCCUGCUGCCUGCCAUUCCAGAUGUGGAACUCCCAGCUACCUCUCUAGCACCGUGUCUACUUGUGUCCCACCGUGAUGACAGUGAACUAAACCUCUGAACUAAUGGCUCUGGGAACUUUAUGUGAUAAAUAAUGGCCUGUCAGAUUGGAUUUUCACUUAAUCUUGGGGAAAGGCUUUCUGAUAAAGUGUGAAAGGCCAGUGGAUGUAACUUCAGUCAUCACCCCAUCCCUGAAACUCAGUGUAACCCGACAUUUAUCCACUUGAUAAAUAAACUUUCAGAGAAUAGCA
Mesocricetus auratus (golden hamster) is the source of this 433-nucleotide long non-coding RNA. RefSeq lists it as uncharacterized. Lineage: Eukaryota; Metazoa; Chordata; Mammalia; Rodentia; Cricetidae. The record is from RefSeq and is a predicted model, not a curated record. The transcript is spliced from 2 exons.